CGAUCGGUGACAGUGGUGCAUGGUUGUCGUCAGCUCGUGUCGUGAGAUGUGGGUUAAGUCCCGCAACGAGCGCAACCCCUAUUGUUAGUUGCCAUCAUUCAGUUGGGCACUCUAGCGAGACUGCCGGUAAUAAACCGGAGGAAGGUGGGGAUGACGUCAAAUCAUCAUGCCCCUUAUGACCUGGGCUACACACGUGCUACAAUGGUUGGUACAACGAGUUGCGAGUCGGUGACGGCGAGCUAAUCUCUUAAAGCCAAUCUCAGUUCGGAUUGUAGGCUGCAACUCGCCUACAUGAAGUCGGAAUCGCUAGUAAUCGCGGAUCAGCACGCCGCGGUGAAUACGUUCCCGGGCCUU
RNAcentral lists this ribosomal RNA (354 nucleotides) under uncultured Streptococcus sp. RNAcentral's name for it is "bacterial SSU rRNA". It matches the Rfam family "Bacterial small subunit ribosomal RNA", at positions 1025 to 1382 of the family's 1533-position model. Lineage: Bacteria; Bacillati; Bacillota; Bacilli; Lactobacillales; Streptococcaceae. The record is from RNAcentral.